This 259-nucleotide ribosomal RNA is filed under the name uncultured prokaryote. RNAcentral describes it as "partial 16S ribosomal RNA". It matches the Rfam family "Bacterial small subunit ribosomal RNA", at positions 524 to 782 of the family's 1533-position model. The record is from RNAcentral.
UACGGAGGAUCCGAACGUUAUCCGGAUUUAUUGGGUUUAAAGGGUGCGCAGGUUGUUUGAUAAGUCAGUGGUGAAAGUCUGUCGCUUAACGGUAGGAUUGCCAUUGAUACUGUUGGACUUGAAUAUGGAUGAGGUAGGCGGAAUGUGUAGUGUAGCGGUGAAAUGCAUAGAUAUCACGAGGAACUCCGAUUGCGCAGGCAGCUUACUAAACUACUACUGACGCUCAGGCACGAAGGCGUGGGGAUCAAACAGGAUUAGA